UUUAGAGUUUGAUCCUGGCUCAGGACGAACGCUGGCGGCGCGCCUAACACAUGCAAGUCGAACGAGCGAGAGAGAGCUUGCUUUCUUGAGCGAGUGGCGAACGGGUGAGUAACGCGUGAGGAACCUGCCUCAAAGAGGGGGACAACAGUUGGAAACGACUGCUAAUACCGCAUAAGCCCACGGCUCGGCAUCGAGCAGAGGGAAAAGGAGCAAUCCGCUUUGAGAUGGCCUCGCGUCCGAUUAGCUAGUUGGUGAGGUAACGGCCCACCAAGGCGACGAUCGGUAGCCGGACUGAGAGGUUGAACGGCCACAUUGGGACUGAGACACGGCCCAGACUCCUACGGGAGGCAGCAGUGGGGAAUAUUGCACAAUGGGGGAAACCCUGAUGCAGCGACGCCGCGUGGAGGAAGAAGGUCUUCGGAUUGUAAACUCCUGUUGUUGAGGAAGAUAAUGACGGUACUCAACAAGGAAGUGACGGCUAACUACGUGCAAGCAGCCGCGGUAAAACGUAGGUCACAAGCGUUGUCCGGAAUUACUGGGUGUAAAGGGAGCGCAGGCGGGAAGACAAGUUGGAAGUGAAAUCCAUGGGCUCAACCCAUGAACUGCUUUCAAAACUGUUUUUCUUGAGUAGUGCAGAGGUAGGCGGAAUUCCCGGUGUAGCGGUGGAAUGCGUAGAUAUCGGGAGGAACACCAGUGGCGAAGGCGGCCUACUGGGCACCAACUGACGCUGAGGCUCGAAAGUGUGGGUAGCAAACAGGAUUAGAUACCCUGGUAGUCCACACUGUAAACGAUGAUUACUAGGUGUUGGAGGAUUGACCCCUUCAGUGCCGCAGUUAACACAAUAAGUAAUCCACCUGGGGAGUACGACCGCAAGGUUGAAACUCAAAGGAAUUGACGGGGGCCCGCACAAGCAGUGGAGUAUGUGGUUUAAUUCGACGCAACGCGAAGAACCUUACCAAGUCUUGACAUCCUGCGACGGUUCUGGAAACAGAACUUUCCUUCGGGACGCAGAGACAGGUGGUGCAUGGUUGUCGUCAGCUCGUGUCAUGAGAUGUUGGGUUAAGUCCCGCAACGAGCGCAACCCUUAUGGUCAGUUACUACGCAAGAGGACUCUGGCCAGACUGCCGUUGACAAAACGGAGGAAGGUGGGGAUGACGUCAAAUCAUCAUGCCCUUUAUGACUUGGGCUACACACGUACUACAAUGGCGUUAAACAAAGAGAAGCAAGACCGCGAGGUGGAGCAAAACUCAGAAACAACGUCCCAGUUCGGACUGCAGGCUGCAACUCGCCUGCACGAAGUCGGAAUUGCUAGUAAUCGCAGAUCAGCAUGCUGCGGUGAAUACGUUCCCGGGCCUUGCACACACCGCCCGUCA
This 1373-nucleotide ribosomal RNA is filed under the name uncultured bacterium. Its description in RNAcentral is "16S ribosomal RNA". It matches the Rfam family "Bacterial small subunit ribosomal RNA". The record is from RNAcentral.